UUGACGGCACCCCGGCGAGCAACGAAUACUGCGGGACAAUAAUUUAUUUUAGUUUCACGGAAGGGAGGCACGGAGUGGCACGCUGCCUGUGGCAGAUUCGAAGCGGCUAUUAUGACGAAGAGCCGACCUUUUGAAUUAAUCGGCGAUCAUCCUCGCAACGAUUUAUGAUUGCGAAAAGAAGACGAUGGACGACGACAAUGGACGAGGCCGCAUUUUCUAGAAGAAAAUCAACAAGUUUUGCGAUUUACAUUAAUCCAAGAUGUCUCCCACCUUGUCGAGUGUUCGUGGGAAUCGAACGACAUCUUAUUUUCUUUAUAUGUCGUGUCGAGGUAUGAUCGUCAUAUUGACGUCGUCAACUUUCAGAUCUCACGGUAAAUAGGCUGUGAUGGAUAUAAUAUUAAACUCGCGAUUUUCUUCGGGAAUUUCUCUAUUAAUAUGAAUUUUUAUGAUAUCUUCCUUCGAUUAGCAAUUUAUUUAUCAGUGAAAGUCUAUAUCUUCUCUCAAAAAAUUCUUUGUGUAAUAUUAUUUCACGGACGGGAUAUAAAAUAAAUAAAGUAAUAAUGAAAAUUAUUUUUGCGUGUAAAAAAUCGUACGAAUCCUCAGAUUGCAAAUACGAUAUAAAAUAUAAAAAUAUAAAAAUAUUCAAUAAGUGACGAUAUAUUUGAAAAGAAUUUUAAGGAACUUUUUAUAAAAAAAUUCGUGUUCUUUUAAAAAGAAAUCUAUAAUUUCUUCACAAGAUUCAAAAAGGUUAAAGAACAUAGAGAGCAGACUAGUAAAAGGAUCACCUUGGAAAUUUUCACAGGUAAUUCUUUCGAUCACGGUCUGUGAUUAGUGAAACAUUUUUUUUUUUAACAAUCCUCGAAUCGAACCGUAACUGUUCGUGAAUGGUAA
This is a long non-coding RNA of Apis mellifera (honey bee), 891 nucleotides long. RefSeq lists it as uncharacterized. The transcript has 2 exons. NCBI's taxonomy places the organism in Eukaryota, Metazoa, Arthropoda, Insecta, Hymenoptera, Apidae. The record is from RefSeq and is a predicted model, not a curated record.